This 472-nucleotide ribosomal RNA is filed under the name uncultured bacterium. RNAcentral describes it as "partial 16S ribosomal RNA". It matches the Rfam family "Bacterial small subunit ribosomal RNA", at positions 28 to 507 of the family's 1533-position model. The record is from RNAcentral.
GACGAACGCUGGCGGCGUGCUUAACACAUGCAAGUCGAACGAUGAACCCGGAGCUUGCUCUGGGGGAUUAGUGGCGAACGGGUGAGUAACACGUGAGUAACCUGCCCUGGACUCUGGGAUAAGCGUUGGAAACGACGUCUAAUACCGGAUAGGACCUUGGAUCGCAUGAUCUGGGGUGGAAAGUUUUUUCGGUCUGGGAUGGACUCGCGGCCUAUCAGCUUGUUGGUGAGGUAAUGGCUCACCAAGGCGUCGACGGGUAGCCGGCCUGAGAGGGUGACCGGCCACACUGGGACUGAGACACGGCCCAGACUCCUACGGGAGGCAGCAGUGGGGAAUAUUGCACAAUGGGCGAAAGCCUGAUGCAGCAACGCCGCGUGCGGGAUGACGGCCUUCGGGUUGUAAACCGCUCUUAGUAGGGAAGAAGGGCUUCGGCUUGACGGUACCUGCAGAAAAAGGACCGGCUAACUACGUG